This 273-nucleotide ribosomal RNA is filed under the name uncultured bacterium. Its description in RNAcentral is "partial 16S ribosomal RNA". It matches the Rfam family "Bacterial small subunit ribosomal RNA", at positions 524 to 796 of the family's 1533-position model. The record is from RNAcentral.
UACGUAGGGUGCAAGCGUUGUCCGGAAUUAUUGGGCGUAAAGAGCUCGUAGGCGGUUUGUCGCGUCUGCUGUGAAAAUCCGAUGCUCAACAUCGGACCUGCAGUGGGUACGGGCAAGCUAGAGUGCGGUAGGGGAGAUGGGAAUUCCUGGUGUAGCGGUGGAAUGCGCAGAUAUCAGGAGGAACACCAAUGGCGAAGGCACAUCUCUGGGCCGUAACUGACGCUGAGGAGCGAAAGCGUGGGGAGCGAACAGGAUUAGAUACCCGCGUAGUCC